GAGGUGUGCUGACCCCAGGCUGAGAAGCGGACUCCGUUGAGACCCCUGCUCGUGGAGCACAGAAUCCACUCUGUUUCCACCAGAUGCAGGUGAGACGGGGUCCAGAUCAGCCCCCGAGGUCGGGAUUGCGCCCGGCCGCCCAUCCACCCAGACUCAGCCCUCGUUCAGGAGCCUGGUCUCCCUCGGGCCGGCCGGUGCCGGCUGCACAUGUGGGGCUGAGGUCGGCCCAGCCCUACCUCGAGGCCCUCACGGCCCAUGGGAGCGGUGUGCACAGCCCUCUCCACCCGGACAGCAGUGGGAUGGGGUGUGGAGGCCCACAGAGCCAGGGCUUCCGGAUGGGGGAGCUUAGAAAGGGCCUCUCACCAGGAAGCCGGGGCUCUCCAACCGGAAGGGCCCCGGAGGGCAGAUUCUCAGUGCAAGGGACCCCCACGCUCCGCAGACCAGCAGGCUCACUGGCCUGUGCCACUUCUCGGUGGUGGCAGUUGGGGGGGUCACCUGCAGCGGAGCCUCUGCCGGGCUCCCUGUCCCUUGACGCUGACUGUGUGGCUGCUGCUUCUCCCCGGCCACUGUCCUCCCGGUGGAGACCAGCACAGCGUGACAGCCGCGUCCCGUGGCACAGCCUGCUGCGGUCGGGCCCCACUGCACCCCACAUCCAGCCUCACCCUUCCCAGCCUCCCCAUCCUGUCCCUGCUGCAGGAGAACAAGCAGGUGCUGGGUGUGGGUGCUCGGAGGCAGGGGCCGGCCCAGCCAGCUGGGCAGGAGGACUCAGUGUCCUCUCCCCCAGCUUGACUGUGGUCUUGGCCCUGGCGGCCCGGCCAGGGCAGGCUUUCACUCCCCACCGGGCUGCGGGCCCUGGAGAGGCGGGGACUGGGCAGAGCUCAGCUGCCGCAGACGCCCCACUCACACUGCUCACCUUGGGUCGUUUCCCAGGGGUGUGGAAGGCACGUGCACCAUCAGAGGCCUCGCUGGGCGGAGUGGACUCAAAGCUUGUCCUGGACAGGGAUAUUCUGGACACUUUAAUUGGGUUAUAUCAGGCCAUGGUACAAAAUGGGACCACAGAUGGAGGUGAGUUGAGUUUACCAUUGUUCGGGUUUUUUCUCCGAGAUAAACUGUACUUGAGGCCCCCCAGAUUCUGA
RNAcentral lists this long non-coding RNA (1136 nucleotides) under Fukomys damarensis (Damara mole-rat). RNAcentral's name for it is "lncRNA (ENSFDAG00000029174.1)". The record is from RNAcentral. Lineage: Eukaryota; Metazoa; Chordata; Mammalia; Rodentia; Bathyergidae.